This 301-nucleotide ribosomal RNA is filed under the name uncultured bacterium. RNAcentral describes it as "partial 16S ribosomal RNA". It matches the Rfam family "Bacterial small subunit ribosomal RNA", at positions 509 to 807 of the family's 1533-position model. The record is from RNAcentral.
CAGUAGCCGCGGUAAUACGAAGGGUGCAAGCGUUAAUCGGAAUUACUGGGCGUAAAGCGUGCGCAGGCGGUUUGUUAAGACAGAUGUGAAAUCCCCGGGCUCAACCUGGGAACUGCAUUUGUGACUGGCAAGCUAGAGUGUGGCAGAGGGGGGUGGAAUUCCGCGUGUAGCAGUGAAAUGCGUAGAUACGCGGAGGAACACCGAUGGCGAUGGCAGCCCCCUGGGCCAACACUGACGCUCAUGCACGAAAGCGUGGGGAGCAAACAGGAUUAGAUACCCCCGUAGUCCCUGUCUCUUAUAC